AGUGAACGCUGGCGGUAGGCCUAACACAUGCAAGUCGAACGGCAGCACAGUAAGAGCUUGCUCUUACGGGUGGCGAGUGGCGGACGGGUGAGGAAUACAUCGGAAUCUACUUUUUCGUGGGGGAUAACGUAGGGAAACUUACUCUAAUACCGCAUACGACCUACGGGUGAAAGCAGGGGAUCUUCGGACCUUGCGCGAUUGAAUGAGCCGAUGUCGGAUUAGCUAGUUGGCGGGGUAAAGGCCCACCAAGGCGACGAUCCGUAGCUGGUCUGAGAGGAUGAACACCCACAUUGCACGUGACCCUGGUUCCAACUCCCACGGGGAGCCGCCUGUGGGGACUAUGGAACAUGGGGCGCAUUCUUGUGCCACCCAUACGGCGUGGGUGAAGAAGGCCUGCGGGUUGUAAAGCCAUUUUGUUGGGAAAGAAAAGCCGCAGGUUAACCCCCGGCUGUUCUGCCGUUACCAAAAGAAUACGCCCCGGCUACUUUCGU
This 491-nucleotide ribosomal RNA is filed under the name uncultured bacterium. Its description in RNAcentral is "partial 16S ribosomal RNA". It matches the Rfam family "Bacterial small subunit ribosomal RNA", at positions 29 to 506 of the family's 1533-position model. The record is from RNAcentral.